CAGGCCUUCUCAAUGGUUUGGAAUAGACACUGCUAACAAGAGUAUUAGUAGUAAACUAAGAAGAACAGAGAAAUUGAAUGAAAAGUGAGAACAUGGAGAGAGGCAAAAUGUGCAGGUCUGUGAACUGGAGAUUGGCACUUGCCAUCUGCCUCUGCACAGAUUGACUCAUGAGCUGCUGCAGCUGCUGUCCCUCUACACCCCUGAAAGGAGCUCAGGGCGGAGAUCAGGGGUGAGUCACUCUGUGCUCUGGGAAAACCGGCAGAACAGGUCUCCAGAUAGAUAUUUUCAGGAUGAGAUUUUAUAAACCCAAUUCUUGCAUCUCCUCAUAUCUAGCAAAGUACUGACAUCCUUCAUGGUGACGUCUGCUCCUCGUGAUUAGCAGUAACAUUCACUCGGAGACCAGCAGUGACCUGUAAAAUGAGUGCUUGGUGUCAUGUACCUCCCCCCUUCACCAAAACCACAUAUAUACCAAUAUUUCCACCUACAUCUUUGGAGCGAUAUUUCAGAGCUAUUUGAAAUGCUGCCUCCUAGGCUAUAGUCCUCAUUUUGCCCCCAAGAAAACUUAACUCUUAGCUUUUAUGUUGUGCUUUUUUUUUUUAGUUGACAGGUCCUGUUUUGAUUAAUACGAUACAAAUUUAUGUAAGGCAAUUUAUAGAAAUGUUUAGUCAAAAUGUAUGUUUAGCAACGAACUCUAAAGAUAGUUCUAAGAAGAAAGAGGUAAAAUGGAGGUUGUCAGUGGCAUUAAAAAUUAUUUAAAAGCAGGAGUUCCCUGGUGACUCAGCAGGUUAAGAUCCAGUGUUGUCAGGGCUGUGGCUUGAAUCACUGCCGUGGCACAGGUUCGAUCCCUGGCCUGGGAACUUCCACAUUAUAUGGGUGUGGCCAUGUCACAAAAAUAAAUAGAUAAAUAAAAAUUAUAUACAAUGGUUAUUUUAAAUUUGAAAAAGUGGAAAGGACUACUGCAUACUGUCCUUGAAAAACAGCUUUUGGUAUUCUGAAUACCAAGAAAACUCAAUUUCAAGACAAACUUUACUAUCUAGCUGAUGAUCGUAGGCAAGUCACUCUGCCUCACUGGGUCUGCCUUGACUCAGUUGUUCUGUGUUAGUCAAAUAUGGCUUUGAAUAAUCAGGAAAGAGUAUUUUGUAAUUGUGAAAGUCUCUGAAUUUUGUUUAGGAGUGAUAAUUACUUGCAUAAAGACUUGCCAAAAUUCCAGUCAUUUGAAAUUUGGUUAUUUGAGUUUCGGCACAAACAGGGGAGUACCUGCUAAUUCAGAUAUUUUGCACUAAUUUUUAAAAGAUGCACUCCUCGGGGUUGCCGUUGCGGCUCAGCGGGUUAAGAACCCAACAUAGUAUCCAUGAGGAUGUGGGUUCCAUCCCUAGCUGCAAGUUAAGGAUCCAGCAUUGCUGAAAGCUGUGGGGUAGGUCUCAGAGGCAGCUCGGAUUUGGUGUUGCUGUGGCUGUGGUGUAGGCCGGCAUCUGCAGCUCCAAUUUGACCCCUAGUCUGGGAACUUCCAUAUGCCACAGAUGCAGCCCUAAAAAGAAAAAUAAAUGAAUAAAAUAUGCAGUCCUCAUAAAAACCUGAGGUAGGUAUCACGAUGUGCAUACACCACCUUGCAGACAGCCCGCAACUUGUAAGUAGCAGUAAGUGGUCAACCUAGGUCAGUGUCCAAUCCCCAUGCUCUUGCAUUAUACCACAUUAGGCACCCAAUUUUUUAUUGUAUAAAAAUAAAAGGAACGUUUCCUAUUCUCCAAAACUUGUUCAAUCUGACAUUAUCGUGAACUUUUACUUCUCUCUGCAGAUUAUCCCUUGAGAAACUGUAGCAGGCCAAGAAACAUUUCUAUUAUUUAACAAGUAUUUCUUUCAUUAGUGAAAACUUCAAAGUCAAGAAGCUAAACAGUCUGGCAGAGCUCCCAAACCACAAGGCAAGAUCUCUCCUCUUUCUGCGAGUCGAGUCCUUUUUAACUUCCUUUGUUUGAAAUGAGAGCAACUACCACCCAAAUAGGUCCCUAGCUCACAAGGGUGUACUGUGGGAUGUGAGAGGGGCUGAACAGUCCUGGAAAGUGGGGGAAUGAUUCAAGGGAAGAGAAACUGACACAGGAGUGGCUUUAAGAAAAGAGGAAACAGUUUCUGUAGCUGCUGAUAAAACUUUCACAUGCCCAGUCAAAAUACAUAUGCCACACAAACUCAGUACUAAUUUCCCAUAACUUAUUUUUCUCUUUACUUCAAUCUUUUCUUAUAUAAAUGAAGGGUUUGAAAGAAAGGAGAGGAUGUUUUUAUAUGGGAAAGAGCUUUAAAUCUUUGGUGUCUUGCUUCCUUCUCUCUAAAAGUGGAGAAUUAGACUAAGUUUAUUCUUUUGGUUUGGUAUGCUGAAAUCACAGUUUUAGAUUUAGAAAUUUAUUUUAGCUGGCAAUUUAUAAAACAUUUUCAAACAUUUUACAUUUUUAGGAAUAGACAAAAAUAGGCCUUUUUCUUCCAAGCAUGGAAAGCAGCAAGCACCUCUUGGUUUUCCUGACAAAUGAAUAUAGUUAUGUAAUUUAAUAGUGUUAUUAGAAUUGCCUACUUCUAGAAUGGAAACAUCAACAUCUCUGGAAUGGGGCGAGGAAAACAAAGGAGGUUUAGCUCAAAGAAAAUGUAACCAGAUCAAGAGAAAAACAAUGCGGGAACUCUUCUCAAUUACAUUUGCUUAAAAAAUUAAUACUUUAAAAAACUAGAUAAAACAAUCAUAGUUUAGGAACUAUUUUACCAUUGUUAGCUUUGCUAAUAACCUAAACAUGUCCACCAGCUCUGCAUCCUAUCUCUCCCCACUCUGACAAGUUUCCCCAAAUUUCUAAGUCUGCAUAUUUAGCACAGUCCACCUACCCCUAUCCCCCAACUUCUACUAAAGGAAAGGGAAAAGAGAAAGAAUUCGAAUUGUCUUUCUCAGCUUUUGGGGACUAAGUCCUAACUUUUAUCCAGCAGCAUCCCUGUUAACUAGCAAUUACCUGUUGAAUAAAUGAGCUGACAUCUCUUCAACCUGAAAUAUCUGGUACAAGCUUUCUUCCCCAGUGGAAAACUGAGAGCCCAGUCUAAUCCUCAGCUUUCUGCUUUUGCGCUAAGAUACUUGCUUUCAUGCACAGGGAGUUUUCUCUGCUUAUAGGAAAGGAAUAAGGACAAAGCUCGCUCUCUUGCUGUAAUUGUCAAGCUGAAGCCUUUCUUCUCCCCUUGGAACUUUCUUUUACUCCUCAGCUAUAAAUGAUUUAUUUCUCCUGAGAAAAGACUUAACAUUUAACAGGACUUUUUAGUGAUUUCACAUCAAUCCUCCUUUCGAACAGAUAUAUGUAGUCUUCAUUAAUAAUGCAAGAAAAUCAAAUAGAAAAAUGAACCAGGAAAGUCAAUUAGCAGUUUAAGUGAAAUAAAAAUAUUUUACUUCUUACCAAUUAAUUCAAAUGCAUAUUAAAAUGAGAUAUCAAAUUUUACCUAUAAAAGAGAUGGAGUAUGAAUAAAUAGACUGAUCAUGUCCACAUUGAAUGAUGAUGUGGGAAGAUAGGCACGUUGCUGCAUUGUUGAUAGGCACAGCAAUGGAAUUAGUCUUCUUUAAGAGCAGUUGAGGAGGAGUUCCCGUCGUGGUGCAGUGGUUAACGAAUCCGACUAGGAACCAUGAGGUUGCGGGUUCGGUCCCUGCCCUUGCUUAGUGGGUUACCGAUCCGGCGUUGCCGUGAGCUGUGGUGUAGGUUGCAGACGUGGCUUGGAUCCCUCAUUGCUGUGGCUCUGGCGUAGGCUGGUGGCUACAGCUCUGAUUCGACCCCUAGCCUGGGAACCUCCAUAUGCCGCUGGAGCGGCCCAAGAAAU
This 3825-nucleotide long non-coding RNA is filed under the name Sus scrofa (pig). RNAcentral's name for it is "lncRNA (ENSSSCG00000044939.2)". The record is from RNAcentral. Lineage: Eukaryota; Metazoa; Chordata; Mammalia; Artiodactyla; Suidae.